This 398-nucleotide ribosomal RNA is filed under the name uncultured bacterium. RNAcentral describes it as "bacterial SSU rRNA". It matches the Rfam family "Bacterial small subunit ribosomal RNA", at positions 362 to 776 of the family's 1533-position model. The record is from RNAcentral.
UAUUGCACAAUGGGCGAAAGCCUGAUGCAGCAACGCCGCGUGAAGGAAGAAGGCCUUCGGGUCGUAAACUUCUGUCCUUGGGGAAGAAGAACUGACGGUACCCAAGGAGGAAGCCCCGGCUAACUACGUGCCAGCAGCCGCGGUAAUACGUAGUGGGCAAGCGUUAUCCGGAAUUAUUGGGCGUAAAGAGUACGUAGGUGGCAACCUAAGCGCAGGGUUUAGGGCAAUGGCUCAACCAUUGUUCGCCCUGCGAACUGGGAUGCUUGAGUGCAGGAGAGGAAAGCGGAAUUCCUAGUGUAGCGGUGAAAUGCGUAGAUAUUAGGAGGAACACCAGUGGCGAAGGCGGCUUUCUGGACUGUAACUGACACUGAGGUACGAAAGCGUGGGGAGCAAACAGG